UCAAUGAUAAUCUCCUCUUAUCUGGUACUCUUCGAACUUUUUCUUUUGAGCUUGUUUGUCUUCGAAAUUAUUUAUUAUCUGUAUUGAGUCCGAAUUUAUUAACUCCCUUUUGGCUUGUUUUGAGAAUAGGCUUUAUUUAACUAGUUAUACUGGGCAUGCUGGAUUCGAAUUUGAAUGCCUUUCAGGAAUGUUCUUAGUGUUCUUUGGGAGUUUUUAAUUGAUAAUUAUUCCUCUUUUUUAUUAUGUGCGAAUAUUAGCAAUUGGCCACCUGCUCACACUUGGGUCUUUGUAUUCAUUUAAUUAAUUUUUUUGCUUCUUCCAUAUUCAACACUCUAAUUUCUAAUAUUUGUAAUCUUAAGUAUUUACAUGUUGGAUUUGAAUUCCCUUCUUUUUGUGGGUGGAAAAAUUGUAGUUAGCUUGGUUUUGUCAGAACUCUUCUGGGAAGAUUCUAGUUUGUUGAGAUUGGAUUUUCUUAAAGGCCUUUAUAAUGCAGUUAUGGUUUAUAUUGUGCUUAGUUUUGCUGACAUGGUAAUGCCAUUUGCUAUGUUUUGGUAAAUUUGGAAAAUAGAUUAUAAUUUGCUUGAGGAAAUG
This 591-nucleotide unclassified non-coding RNA is filed under the name Hevea brasiliensis (rubber tree). The record is from RNAcentral. Lineage: Eukaryota; Viridiplantae; Streptophyta; Magnoliopsida; Malpighiales; Euphorbiaceae.